UGGGGAAUUUUGGACAAUGGGGGAAACCCUGAUCCAGCCAUUCCGCGUGAGUGAAGAAGGCCUUCGGGUUGUAAAGCUCUUUCAGCAGGAACGAAACGGUGUGGGCUAAUACCCUGCAUCACUGACGGUACCUGAAGAAGAAGCACCGGCUAACUACGUGCCAGCAGCCGCGGUAAUACGUAGGGUGCGAGCGUUAAUCGGAAUUACUGGGCGUAAAGCGUGCGCAGGCGGUUUUGUAAGUCAGAUGUGAAAUCCCCGGGCUUAACCUGGGAACUGCGUUUGAAACUACAAGGCUAGAGUGUAGCAGAGGGGGGUGGAAUUCCACGUGUAGCAGUGAAAUGCGUAGAGAUGUGGAGGAACACCGAUGGCGAAGGCAAUCCCCUGGGCCUGCACUGACGCUCAUGCACGAAAGCGUGGGGAGCAAACAGG
RNAcentral lists this ribosomal RNA (429 nucleotides) under uncultured bacterium. Its description in RNAcentral is "bacterial SSU rRNA". It matches the Rfam family "Bacterial small subunit ribosomal RNA", at positions 355 to 776 of the family's 1533-position model. The record is from RNAcentral.